Molecule: long non-coding RNA, 1801 nt
Organism: Serinus canaria (Common canary)
Lineage: Eukaryota; Metazoa; Chordata; Aves; Passeriformes; Fringillidae
Source: Ensembl
UAAUUGGGGGUUAAUUAAGGGCGGGGUUAAUUAGGGGAGGGGUUAAUUGGGACAGUUAAUGUUUGGGUAUUUGGGGGUGGGGCUUGAUAUGUUAAUUAGGGCUGGGGUUUAAUUUGUUAAUUAGUGGGGGUGGUAAUUAGGGGUGGGUGUUAAUUGGGCUGGGCUUAAUUGGGGAGGAGAUUAAUUAGGAUAGAGGUGAAUUAAUGAUGGGGUUAAUUAGUAAAAGUUAAUUAGUUAAUUAGCUCUGAGGGUUAAUUAGGGGUUAGUUAGCAUAAGGGGUUAAUUGGAAAUGGGGGUUAAUUAGGGGUAGGGUUAAUUAACAUAGGGGUUGAAUGGAAAUAAGGGUUAAUUAGGGGUGGAGCUUAAUUGGGAUUGGCUUAAUUAGAGGUGGGGCUUAAUUGGGGGGUUAAUUAGAACCAGGGUUAAUUAGGGGUGUGGCUUAAUUGGGGGGUUAAUAAGAUCCAGGGUUAAUUAGGGGUGGAGCUUAAUUAGAAGCUAUGGUUUAAUUGGGGUGGGAGUUAAUUAGGGGAGUAGAUAAUUGGGAGAAUUAAUUAAGAUUUUGGUAAUUAGGGGCGGGGCUUAUCUCAUUAAUUGAGGGGUUUAAUUGGGGUUAAUUAGGGGAGGGGUUAAUUGGGAGAAUUAAUUAAGAUUUGGGUAAUUAGGGGCGGGGCUUAAUUCAUUAAUUAGAUGUUGGGGGUUAAUUAGGGGAGGGGUUAAUUGGGAGAAUUAAUUAAUAUUUGGGUUAUUGGGGUGGGGCUUAACUCAUUAAUUAGGAAUGGGGGUUAAUUAAAGAUGGGUUAAAUUCGGGGUGGGGCUAAUUAAGGGUGGGGCUAAUUAGGGGUGGGGCUUAAUGGGUGAAGCUUAAUUAAGGUGGGCCUUAAGGAGGCGUGGCUAAUUAGGAAGGGGCGGGGCUUAGUUAGGAAGCAUUAAUUAAUCAUUAGGGUUUUUAAAUGGUGGGCGUGGCCUAAUUAGGGGUGGAGCUUGGUGUAUUUAAAUGAAGUGGGCGUGGCCUAACGCGGUUUUCCCUCCUCUCCCAGCUCUCCCGGCGGCCUCGUUGGCCACGCCCACUCCCGCCGGAGGCCCCGCCCCCGUGGCCGCGGCCACGCCCACCCUGGGCAAAGGGGCGGGGCCGGCCCCUCCCCCGCCCGUGGCCGCCUUCGCGCUGCCCCAGCGGCUCCUGCUGGCCCCGGACAUGCAGGCCCGGCUGCCCUCGGGCGAAGUCGUCAGCCUGGGCCAGCUCGCCGCCCUCGCCCAGCACCGCGCCCCCCCCGCAGGGGGCGUGGCCAAACCUUCGCCCCUCCCACCGAGCGCCGUGGCCCCGCCCCCUCCGGCCUCGGCCCCGCCCCCUCUGACGUUGCAGCUGACGGGCAGCAAAGUCACGCUUGGCCCCGCCCCCUCCCUGCGGGGGCUCGCGCUGGCCCCGCCCCCCGGCCGGGGGGAUCCCANNNNNNNNNNNNNNNNNNNNGAGGUUUGGGGAAAAUUUGGGAAUUUUGGGGAGGGGAUUGGGAAAAAUUUGGGAAUUUUGGGGGGGAAUUUUUAGGGGUUUUGGGCUUUUUUUAGGUUUUUUUGCCGAUUUUUUGAGCAUUUUGGGGGGGAAAAUUUGGGGAUUUUGGGGGAAAAUUUGGGAAUUUUGGGAAUUUUGGGAAUUUUUGGAGGUUGGGGGAAAUCUGGGAGUUUUUGGGGGAUUUUUUGUGAGUUUUUUUGGGUUUUUUUAAAAUUUUUUGGGGUUUUUUUUGGAAUUUUUUUGGGCUUUUUUUGCGAUUUUUGGAGCAUUUUUGGGGAGAAAAUUUGGGGAUUUUGG